This 425-nucleotide long non-coding RNA is filed under the name Cricetulus griseus (Chinese hamster). RNAcentral describes it as "lncRNA (ENSCGRG00015032385.1)". The record is from RNAcentral. Lineage: Eukaryota; Metazoa; Chordata; Mammalia; Rodentia; Cricetidae.
AAAAAACAUUUUGAAGGCUAUAGGAAGGCUGGAGGGGAAACCAUCACUUGUGGCCAGUGUGGGUGUGGACCGUGGCAGCUGAGAGCAACAGAGACAAGCUGAGGGACAGCUGUCUGUCUCCUCCAUGAUGUUAUUAUCUCUGAGGGGAGAACUUCAGAAAUAUAACUUAAAGAAAGAAAAAAAUGUCAAAGAGGUCAUGGGACAUUGUUCAAUAAUAAAGCACAUGUCUGCACAAGGUCUUGGAUUUGGCCUCCAGCAUACCUGCCACCAGUGAGUGAGGAAAAAGGACUUGAAUAAAUUUUCUCCAGAGAAAAUGAAAAUACAGCUUGGUGGUGGCACAUGCCUUUAAUGCCAGCACUCAGGAGGCAGAAGCAGGAUGAUUUGUGUGAAUUUUAGGCCAGUCCGAUCUACAGAGUGAGUUCUUG